AAUUCUAUACAAAGGAAGGUAACUCACACUACCCAAGGGCUCUGAAGGACUUUGCCAAAAUUGAGGAGUUGGCCAGACAGAGGGAAGAGCAUGGGGGAAGGGGGGGCGGGGGGCUUGACCACGUGCGGACAGGCAGAUUCAGUAACUGUUAACACACGGGAAGUUGACGGGUUGUAACAGACAGUGGGGAAAUGGGCGUGCGUAAAAACUAGGAACAGCGCGCCUGGAAUCCCGAGGCCUGGUCCUGGUUCUCAGAGUGAGGACGUGCCGUCACCACGGAGCCAAGCGUGAAAUUUGGGGUAAAUUUCUCCCUGAAGACCCCUUUUAAGCAAUGUGAGGGUCCUCCUAGAUUGAAAGUAUAACCUAAAAUUGCGAUUUGGGCCCCUAGGUUAUGUUUUUUGGAAGAGUCUGCCUGUCAUACUGAGUAUAAGACAUUAAAGCCACAAACCGAAUUUCUGUCUUCUAAUCCUCUGUAUAAUUUGUGACCUUCCCCGCCCUCCCCAAGUCCCUCUCUGCCUCCAGCUAUGCCGACUACAGCCUUUUAAAGAAACUCACUUCUUUUUCCAAAGGUGCCACUAGCACAGCUGAGAAGUGCUUUAAGCCUGAGGAUGGUAAAGUCCCUCCGUGGAGACAGAGUAGGGCUGGAGGAUGAGUAUCAGUGCUGAGUCUGAUGUGGGUACACUGAAGUUUCCCCCCAGCCCAUCCGGGCAUGAAGCAGCUGCAAUCCACAAUGGCCCUGGGAGAAACCACUGAAGGAUGCCCUUCAGCAUCCACAGCAGGAAAAUGAGGCCACAGAGAGCUGUGAAGAACCUUAGAGAUGGAGGCUGAAGAAGAUCCAGAUCAGACCCAGGAUCAAUUCUCACAUCUAGCUCAGUGAUGAGCAGGUGGACUGAUGAAACUUCUAGUAAACAAAGCACACUACACUUAGGAUAGUUGUUAUGGUGUGCACAGACAUAUGUCUGACCCACAUCAAACCAUCAGAGGAAGCAUGCACAGAUGACUCCCUAGGCCUCAGUUUCCUCACUAGUAAAAGAGACAACUUUAAUGAGUUGGUAUAUGCAAAUAAGUAUGUGCAAAUGAAAUGAGGUAUGCAAAUGAGUUGAUGUACAUAAAUGAGCUGAUACAUGUAAAUGAUUGAUGUGUGUGAAUGUAUUAUGUAUGCAAAUGAGCUGUUGUAUGUAAAGCACUUAGACCAGCACUCAGCACCCAGCCCUAGGGAAGAAUUUUCAAAUAUCAAUGCUGAGUCAGAAAUACAGGUAAUAAGUGGGAGGUACACACACCAAAUGGCUUCCCUCUGUAUCUGUAGCUGCCCAGGCUGCUCCCCAAAUGUCCAACUCGUCUCAGCCACCC
This 1350-nucleotide long non-coding RNA is filed under the name Macaca fascicularis (crab-eating macaque). RNAcentral's name for it is "lncRNA (ENSMFAG00000060040.1)". Lineage: Eukaryota; Metazoa; Chordata; Mammalia; Primates; Cercopithecidae. The record is from RNAcentral.